Molecule: ribosomal RNA, 1377 nt
Filed under: metagenome
Description: bacterial SSU rRNA
Rfam family: Bacterial small subunit ribosomal RNA
Source: RNAcentral
CAACUCCGGUAUAGCGUCCGGAAACGGACGGUAAUCCCGGAUGGUCCCUGUAUCGGGAAUCCGACUCAGGGUAAAGAUGGGGAUCUUCGGACCUUUCGGUCGGGGAGGGGCCUAUGUCCCAUCAGCUUGUUGGUGAGGUAAUGGCUCACCAAGGCGAUGACGGGUAGCCGGACUGAGAGGUCGACCGGUCACACUGGGACUGAGACACUGCCCAGACUCCUACGGGAGGCUGCAGUCGAGAAUCUUCCGCAAUGGGCGCAAGCCUGACGGAGCGACGCCGCGUGGGGGAUGAAGGCCUUCGGGUUGUAAACCCCUGUCACGAGUUAUGAAACACCAUGCGAUAAUACCGUAUGGUUUGACGAAGGCUCGAGAGGAAGUCAUGGCUAACUCCGUGCCAGCAGCCGCGGUAAUACGGAGAUGGCAAGCGUUGCUCGGAAUCACUGGGCAUAAAGGGCGUCUAGGCGGAUCGGCAAGUCGGCUGUGAAAGUCCUCGGCUCACCCGAGGAAGUGCAUCCGAAACUGUCGGUCUUGAGGGCGAGAGGGGAGAGUGGAACUCCUGGUGGAGCGGUGAAAUGCGUAGAUAUCAGGAGGAACGCCGGUGGCGAAAGCGACUCUCUGGCUCGUCCCUGACGCUGAAGCGCGAAAGCUAGGGGAGCGAACGGGAUUAGAUACCCCGGUAGUCCUAGCCGUAAACGAUGAGCACUAAGUAGUGGCGUAUCGAUGACGUCAUUGCCGCAGCUAAUGUGUUAAGUGCUCCGCCUGGGGAGUAUGGUCGCAAGGCUAAAACUCAAAGGAAUUGACGGGGGCUCACACAAGCGGUGGAGGAUGUUGCUUAAUUCGAAUCAACGCGAAGAACCUUACCUGGGCUUGACAUCACGGUGGUAAAACCCUGAAAGGGGAAUGACCCGGGGCAACCUGGGAGCCGCGACAGGUGUUGCAUGGCUGUCGUCAGCUCGUGCCGUGAGGUGUUGGGUUAAGUCCCGUAACGAGCGAAACCCUUGUCGUUAGUUGCCAGCGGGUAAUGUCGGGGACUCUAACGAGACUGCCGGUGUCAAACCGGAGGAAGGUGGGGACGACGUCAAGUCAUCAUGGCCCUUACGCCCAGGGCUGCAAACGUCCUACAAUGGCGCGUACAAAGGGAAGCAAACUCGCAAGAGCUAGCCAAUCCCAGAAAGCGCGUCCCAGUUCGGAUUGUGGGCUGAAAUUCGCCCACAUGAAGUCGGAAUCGCUAGUAAUCGCGGAUCAGCAUGCCGCGGUGAAUAUGUUCCUGAGCCUUGUACACACCGCCCGUCAAGCCACGGAAGCCGGGAGUGCCCGAAGCCCGUGACCUAACCUUUGGAAGGAGCGGUCGACGGUAAGCCCGGUGACUGGGACUAA